RNAcentral lists this ribosomal RNA (274 nucleotides) under uncultured bacterium. RNAcentral's name for it is "partial 16S ribosomal RNA". It matches the Rfam family "Bacterial small subunit ribosomal RNA", at positions 523 to 796 of the family's 1533-position model. The record is from RNAcentral.
AUACGGAGGGGGCUAGCGUUGUUCGGAAUUACUGGGCGUAGAGCGCACGUAGGCGGACUGGUCAGUUGGGGGUGAAAGCCCAAGGCUCAACCUUGGAACUGCCCUCAAUACUGCCAGUCUUGAGUCCGGGAGAGGUGAGUGGAAUUCCUAGUGUAGAGGUGAAAUUCGUAGAUAUUAGGAAGAACACCAGUGGCGAAGGCGGCUCACUGGCCCGGUACUGACGCUGAGGUGCGAAAGCGUGGGGAGCAAACAGGAUUAGAUACCCCGGUAGUCC